This 446-nucleotide ribosomal RNA is filed under the name uncultured eukaryote. Its description in RNAcentral is "partial 16S ribosomal RNA". It matches the Rfam family "Bacterial small subunit ribosomal RNA", at positions 28 to 509 of the family's 1533-position model. The record is from RNAcentral.
GAUGAACGCNGGCGGUAUGCCUUACACAUGCAAGUUGAACGAAAAUUUUUACGAAUUUUAGUAGCGGACGGGUGAGUAACACGUGAGAAUCUACUUUUUGGAGAGGGAUAACAAUUAGAAAUGAUUGCUAAUACCUCAUAUACUUUUUUUUAGUAAAAGGUUUAUUCCGCCAAAAAAAGAGCUCGCGGCUGAUUAGCUAGUUGGUAGGGUAAAGGCCUACCAAGGCGACGAUCAGUAUCUGGUUUGAGAGGAUGAUCAGACACAUUGGAACUGAGACACGGUCCAAACUCCUACGGGAGGCAGCAGUGGGGAAUUUUCCGCAAUGGGCGAAAGCCUGACGGAGCAAUACUGCGUGAGGGAUGAAAGCCUGUGUGUUGUAAACCUCUUUUUUUAGGGAGGAAGUUCUGACGUGUACCUAAAGAAUAAGCAUCGGCUAACUCUGUGCC